Lycium barbarum (goji berry) is the source of this 1162-nucleotide long non-coding RNA. RefSeq lists it as uncharacterized. The transcript has 2 exons. NCBI's taxonomy places the organism in Eukaryota, Viridiplantae, Streptophyta, Magnoliopsida, Solanales, Solanaceae. The record is from RefSeq and is a predicted model, not a curated record.
UUCCUGAUUCCACCGCCGCCUCCCUCCAUUUUUCUCUCCCUCACUCUCUCUUUUCGCUCCCUCUCCUUUACCGUCGCACCUCAUCUCCGCCUUCUCCCUCCUCUCUUCAGCCCCAUCGCCACCCCACUGCUUUAUCUCCUCCCCUAUUCCCCCAUAUCUUCUUGUCCCCUCUGUUUCUCCUGUUUCUCUGACACCUCCACUACCUUCACCCAUCCCUCAUCGCUCCCCUCACGUUACUCCGUCUGACACCCUCCACGCCACUGCCACCCAUUUCGUCCUGUCCCCCACUCGUCUAUUCCCCCCCCCACGCUCGUCUGUCCCCGCUGCUCUCUCUCUUUUCACAAAGAAAAGCUAGAUCUCCCCUAUAAAUGUAGAUUUCUAUGACCCUUAAAAGGGGAUGGUGGGUACAGGAAAAAUGGGGGAGAAUCUGAUUUUUUUCUGAUUGAUGAAACCCCCCACGAAUUGAAACUAUAAAAUCGAGAAAAUCCCUUGGAAAGAAAAGGAGAUCUUGCCAGAUCGAAAAGAAAAUCUCAAAGGAACGAAAUUUUUUUUGGAUUCGAAAAUCCCCUGAAAAUUAUAAGUUCUUCAGUGGCUAAAACCCCCCCUUAAAAGAAAAAGGGUAUUUUCCUAGCCGUCUCAAUUUUUCCCAAAAAAAUAUCAAUUCGCAGUCCAUCGUGAUAGUUCAAAGUAUCGAGUCAAAAGACACGCUAAAACAUGUUUUUUUUAUCUGCUCUGUUGUUGUUGUCGUGAAUCCUGGCUUUGGAAGCUCGGACUUGAUAGUCGAGGGUAGAUAUGAAGCCCCGCACUCCACUUCGCUGCAUCCGAACAAGCCCAACAUAAUACUCUCGAGUCAUCCCCAAAUCAGCAGCCAGCCCGCAGGCAUACAAAAAAAAAAAGAAUUCUGGGCCAAGCCCAAUGGCGAACGGAUUGCAGUUGUUUGUAAAAAAUGGGUUGAGCCCAUUUAACUCUCUCCCCUAUUCUAUUCUCUUACAUUUAACUUGUAUGUCUAAUGUUUUAUCUUGCUAAUUUAGAUGAAUCUUAGGAGACAUUAGUGGGUUUAGUAAUGGUUAAAUGAUCUAAGAUAAUUAGCGAUCAACUCACUUUCCGAAUAAUUGAUUCUCAAAAAUAAAAUAGCAUGAUUGCGCAUUUUGAAUUAAAAGAA